GAUGAAGAACGUAGCGAAAUGCGAUACUUGGUGUGAAUUGCAGAAUCCCGUGAACCAUCGAGUCUUUGAACGCAAGUUGCGCCCGAAGCCACUAGGCCGAGGGCACGCCUGCCUGGGCGUCACACGCCGUUGCCCCCCCAUCUACUCCUUCGGGAUUGCGGGGGGGCGGAUGAUGGCCUCCUGUGCGCCUAGCCGCGCGGUUGGCAUAAAUACCAAGUCCUCGGCGACGCACGCCACGACAAUCGGUGGUUGCGAAACCUCGGUUGCCCGUCGUGUGCGUUCGUCGCGCAUCGAGGGCUCGAAAAAAUGCUCGGCUCCGGCUGGGCUUUCAACGCGACCCCAGGUCAGGCGGGGUUACCCGCUGAAUUUAAGCAUAUCAAUAAGCGGAGGA
This 391-nucleotide unclassified non-coding RNA is filed under the name soil metagenome. RNAcentral's name for it is "partial contains 5.8S ribosomal RNA, internal transcribed spacer 2, and large subunit ribosomal RNA". The stretch from base 1 to 122 matches the Rfam family "5.8S ribosomal RNA", at positions 35 to 154 of the family's 154-position model. The record is from RNAcentral.